Molecule: long non-coding RNA, 8367 nt
Filed under: Malus domestica (apple)
Lineage: Eukaryota; Viridiplantae; Streptophyta; Magnoliopsida; Rosales; Rosaceae
Description: long non-coding RNA (MDOM_LNC005243)
Source: RNAcentral
AUGGAAGAAUCAUUAAGCGUUUGAAGCUGGUUUCCUGAAGGAAUUCUUCCAGACAAGUUGUUGUAAGACAAGUUCAAGUGGUUUAAAAAAGUUAAAGAUGACAAGCUUUGAGGAAUUUGUCCUGAAAGGUGGUUGUGUGAAAGAUCAAGAGUUUCAAGCAAGUGCAAGUUUCCGAUGUUGAAUGGGAUCUUUCACGUUAAUUGAUUCCUGGAUAAGUUCAAGGUACCGAAUUGAAUGAGGCUACUUAUUUCUUCAGGGAUUUCACCUUGUAAAUUAUUUGAUGAAAGAUCAAUGCUCUUUACAAGAUUUAUAGUCUUGUUGUACACAAGUUCUCUUCCUUUUAGUGUCAGUGUGAUUUGCUCAAUAGCACCAAUAGUGUCUGCAUUUAAAUCGUCCACCAGCGAAGCCAAAUUAUCCAGACACUUGGGAAUAGUACCUGAAAGGUUGUUGUGACUAAGGUCAAGGAUAUGAAGAUGUCGAAGAUUGCACAGUUGCUGGGAUAGAUGUCCACUAAAAGAGUUGGACCGUAAUUGUAUCCAGUACAACACGGAUACAUUUGGUCCUCCUAUCCAUAGAGGUAUGUUACCAUAUAACUUGUUGUCUCCGAGAUCUAGACUUCUCAAAAUAGAACAAUUUCGCAACGAAUUAGGAAUUUCACCCCCAAAAUUGUUGUUGUUGAGCUUUAAUACUUGCAGUGAACUUAAUACCCCCAAUGAAGUGGGAAUAUUACCAGAGAGAUUGUUCAGACCAACAUCUAGAAACCACAGUUUGCUCCCCACAUUCCAUGCACGAGGCAAUUCUCCAUAAAAUUGAUUGCUCCUUAGAGACAAGACUCCCAAUUGCUGCAUGUUGCAAACGGAGGGAGGAAUAGUGCCAGUCAAAUGAUUCUCAGAAAGUAACAAGGCAUCCAAAUUGGGCAUCAUUUGGUCAAUAUUAGAGGGAAUUGGCCCGAAAAAUAGAUUGCUUUCGAGAUCAAGCUUCUGCAAACUUUUAAACAAUCCUAAGGAGGCAGGCAGUUGGCUUUCCAGCUCACAAUAAGACAAAUCUAGGGACUCUAAUGCUAUAUUUGGACAAUUCGAGAAACUCCUCCAAAACUCUUCAAUACCCCCUUUAAAUUCGUUUUGAGAAAGGCUUAAGACCUUUAGCUUGCACAAAUUUCCAAUGACUUUUGGAAAAUUACCAUUGAAAUGAUUCCCAGAUAUAUCAAGUGUUAUGAGGCUGGUGAGAUUAAAAAGCCAGCUGGGAAAUGAAGAACUAAACAUAUUAUCUGACACAUCAAGUACCAAAAGUGAUGUCAAAUUAAUGUGUCGCAGUGAGAUGAGUGGAAUGAUUUCAAUUCGGCAAAAAGAUAAGAGUAACUCUGCUAAUGAAGGAAGCAUAUUAACAGCAUACACCCAAUUGACUGCUUUGGUGCUAAGAUCCACCGAUCCGAGAUCAAGGUAUUUAAGAGAAGAAAGGCGAGACAGCCAAUUCAACUUUCUGGAAGUUAAGCCAAUAUUCCACCCAAGAUCAAGAAAAUUGAGGCUUGACAGAUUACCAAGAGAAGGGGGAAUCUCUCCUCCAAAUGACGCAGAGGAGAGAUUGAGAUAUUGCAAACUUUUAAGCUCCCCGAAGAAGUUAGGAACUUGAAUGCUAUAAAAAUCAUUAUUGCUUAGGUCCAGGUAAUUUAAAUGUUUCAAGCUCAACAGAGAAGCAUUUAUCUUACCUCCCAAGCGAAACUUUUCAUACAUGUCCCGCUCUUCAUACGGAUUCCGGAGGUCCAUCUUCACCACAUGACCGGUCCGGUUGUUGCAUGAAACACCUUUCCAUUGACAGCAAUCGUGACCUACCCAAGAGGAAAGCCUGCCAGAAGGAUCAACAAGAUGUUGUUUAAAGAUGAGAAGCGCUUGUCUUUCUUUGUCGAUGCAUGGAUUUGUUUUCACACUGCUUGAAAGUGCACCACCGGCCAAACAGAAACAGGUUUUAGUAGUACUCUGCAUGUAGGAAGAGGUCAAAAGAACAAGAAGGAAAUAGUGAGCAAUACUGAGGUGAUGGUGGGAAUCCAUUACCACACACAAUUUUCUUUGCUAUCUUUGCUGAUGAUGAUGUUUAGCUUCUAAAUUUCAGAAUUUAUAGGAAAAGAUUAUCGAUGUAGGUCAGGGAGUUGAAAUGAAAGCCGUCUGAUGGAGAAAAGAAAAAAGGGUAACUGAAACGAAUGGCGGGUCUUCACAACCCCUUUUACAACUUAUCAUCCUAUUUACUCUUCUUUUCUUGUGGCAUAACAUUACGAAAACGAAUUUAGAUAUGUUUUAUAUUUUGUUCGAAGGAAAACGGAUAUAGAUGUGUCAGGUUCAACAAGUUUGGAAGUCCAUCGCCUACACCACACUUGCUGGUACUCUCUACUUGGAUAUGACUGUCGUGUCGUUAAUUACAAAUUUUCUAAACAAUGGAAUUGUUAUUGACACUCCAAAAUCGUCAUUGUCACAGAAGUCGGUUUCUCAUUUGUUUUUCACUAAUGAGAAAUACAGAGAUUUUUCUAUGGAAGGGCUGUGUAGUACCAAAUGAAAAUGCAUGCAUGAUCCGCGGAAGUCUUGGCACACCAAUUAGUCUUUGGUGGAAAAUCCAUAUGCAGCUAAGACUUUGAAUUGUGAGUCUUCUCGAGUGUCUGUUAGAGAGCUAGAGAGACAUAAUUCGAAUGUUUGUUCAACAACGCAGUGCAAGUAUACUUGUAAACGGAAUUUUUUGAAAUGUCCAAUGAACUUGUACACAUCCUUCAUUUUGUCAUAUAAACUAAAAUUUUAAGCAAUUUGUAUACCAAUUUCCCGAAAUCAUUAAUCUGUCAUCUCGCCAUAACUCUAUUAAGUUUUCUAUCUAAAAUAAGUCAUCUGCCUCCAUUCAAUUUGUCAUCUCAUCCUCACUCCGUUUAAUUUGUCAUCUCCGCCUAACUGAGGUGAUAGUGGUUGUCCAUUAUUACACACAAUUUUCUUUGCUAUGCUUUGUUGGAAAUGAUGUUUUUGUUUCCUACAAAUUGUAGACGUAGGUCGGGGAGUUGAAACAAAAGUCGUCUGAAAGAGAAAAGAAAAAAGGGCGGGUCUUCACAACCCAUUUUACAAGGUAGCAAGUCCAUUGUAGACACAGCUGGGACCUGGAGACUUCGAAUUAACGGUCUUCAUCAGCUGGGAACUGUUCUCUUCUUGUGGUGUAAAAUUAUGAAAACGGAUUUAGAAAUGUUUUAUAUUUUGUGCCAACGAAAAUGGAUAUAGAUGUGUCGGUAUGAACAAGUUUGCAAGUCCAUCGCCUACUCCUCACUUGCUGGUACUCUACUUGGAUAUGACUGUCGUGUCGUUAUUUACAAAUUUUCUAAAUAAUGGAAUUGUUAUUAACACUCCAAAAUUGUCAUUGUCACACUAGUCGCUUUCUUAUUUGUUUUUCACUAAUAGGAAACACUUAUUUUUCUAUGGAAUUUUCCGAAUUCUAAUGAAGCCGUGUAGGAGCAGAUGAUGACGAGUGCAUGCUGGAGAUGGCUAGCCAUGGAAGUGUUGGCCCUCCAAUUAGUCUUUGGUGGAAAAUCCAAAGUCUGUCGGAGAACAGAAAAUAUAUCAUAAUUACAUUAUAUUUUUUCAGUUAACAUCCCACAAUCCAAAGUCUUUGAAAGGGUAAUUCUAUUAACAUCCCACAAUCUUAUGAAUACACCCCAUAAUUUUAUUUUUUCAGUUAAAUUUCCAUUUUUACCCUGACUUGAAUUAAGUUCUAAAGUCCAAAAUAAACCCCAUCCACCCUCUUAUGCUGGUUGCCAACCACCAUCGUGUCAGGGCAAAAAAUCUCAACCACUCGCCAUGCUCUCUCUCUCUCUCUCUCUCUCUCUCUCUCUCUCUCUCUCUCUCUCUCUCUCUCUCUCUCUCUCUCUCUCUCUCUCUAUAUAUAUAUAUAUAUAUAUAUAUAUCCAAUAACCAACCACUUGCCGGUAGGUAAUAGGGAAUUGGGAGAUGGGGUGUGUGAAUCAAGAGUGUUGGGCAAUUCUCAGUCUGUUAGAGAGCCGGUCUUGGCUGUAAACUUCCGCGACGUGGGAGGUUUAUGGCUGUGUUGAUAUCGAUGACGGAUACCUCUUAUAUGGGUGGCCCAUGGCCGUCGAGCUAGCUUUUUUGCCGUCAUUUGUUUAUGGGGAUGGGGUGGCUUCAGAAAAAUGGAGGACAAAGCUGGAAUUUUAAAGGCACAUUUUAGAUGUGGGGUGUAUUCAUAAAGAUGUGGGGUGUUAAUAAAACAACCCUAGUUGAAAAUACUUAUCUUACAAAGCUUUUUUGGAAAGUGAUUUUUACACACAAAUUUUAAUUUGUCACACACUACUUUUUAUUUCUAACCAUUAAAUUGAAUAAAUCAAACAUAAUCAAUGGAUGUAUAAGGGCAUCUCCAGUGGAGUCUCUAAAUAAGGACAACCACCUUAUAAUGGGUAUAAAACAAAUAUAGGGACAAAAUGAAUCUCCAAUUUAUCGGAAAGUGAGUCCCCAAAGUAGAGGGACUCAUCAGAUACAUAGUUGUAUGUCUCACAUAUAGGGAUUAUAUAGAGAUGACCUUGAGUGAAAAACGGAACCCACAAUCUUAAUUGAAGCUUUUAAUGUUUUUAAUGCUUCUAAUUAAUUAAAAAAUGGUUAAUAUAAACAAAAAAAUGUGCACAUUGAGUGGAAAACGGGACUCACAAUCUUAAUUGAAGAUUUUAAUACUUUUAAUUAAUUAAAAAAAUGUUAACAUAAGCAAAAAAUGUGCACCUAAUCAAAUUAUCACAUAAAAUCAUAAAAACUUCAAAUUUAGAGAUUCUAUUAUAAGGAUUCUAUCAUUGAAGACAAUAUUUCUUUAGGGUCACAAAUAUUUCCUUUUAAGUCCUUAAAUGAGUACUCAAAAGUGGUGAUGAGAAUACCUAAAUAUGGACCUUCAUUGGAGAUACUGUGUGCAUUUAUUAUUUUUAUUUUUUCUUCCUUGAUUUUAUUCCAAAAUUAGGAAAUAGCUUCUGAAAAACUGAUUUCACACUUUUUUUGUCAUCUAUACUUUUGUUGGAUAGAUUCGUAGAAGGAAGCUUACCUUAAACGACGUCAUUUUGGAAAUAUCUCUUGCUCUUAUCGGAUUCUGAUCUCCAGAGAUGGAGGGGAAUGAGAACAGUUGACCGUUGUAGAGGUCUGAGUCACCUUGUUAAAUCGGCGGUCUUUAUUUUUGUUUUUUUUGAAAUAAACACGAUUUUACGUUACUACCCCUUUCCUCAUUUUCUUUGGUCAACGAUACCCCCUGCUUUCCUCAGUAUAUAUAUAUAUAUAUAUAUAGAUUUUAUUAUAUGAUUUAUAAGCACAAACUAGAAUUUUAAAUUAAUUCCAAGUUAAUACAUAAAUGUUUGUGGGAACAUUUAUUGAAAGAUAGAAUUCUUUUAUUCAAUACAAAAGUUCCAAGAAGUACCUUAAACCAAAUAGAAAGGAAACCACAAAUAUACAUAGUACAAUCAAACAUUAGAAAACAUUAUUCGGAAACGAGCCACUUUCAAUGCAAAUGCUAGUGCCAUCUUGUCUUUGAUGUAGUCGAAGAAUUGAAAUUAGGCAUACCUCCAUGUUGUUUUUAAGAUCAACGUGCCACACAUGCCUCAAAAGCCUACGAUGAACCAAGUACUACACUAACAUAAAACCACAACUUAUCAUCAUUUCUCACUUCAUUCUUGUCCCUUCCAUCCUUAGCUCACACACAGAAGGUCAUGAACACAUUCAUGUAACCUUGUUAAAAAAUAAAGCACAAAAAACCUCUUUAACGCCAAUUCAACAUCAAAUUAAAAGAAAAUACCGAGUCCUUUCUUUCAAAUUAACAUCAUCCAACAGCAAGCUCAAUCUUUACAUUCAAAAUUACAAUUUCUGUCGAGCCAUCAAAAUUGUUAUCCAGCCACAGCUACAUGCGAAAACUGCCAUUACGAGCCACUUUCGCAACCAACUUGGUCUCAAUCUAUAGCAGCAUUGCCAAUUUGCCAGAAGAUAUUAAGCUAUAGUAAGUUAAUUACAACUAUAUCAACAACCUCUGCACUUCCACAGAAGGAAGUAAAUCACUUACCUAAAUUGGCCCUAACCCUAAAGCUAAAGUAUAUCAACAACCUCUACACUUUACGAGCCACGGUCCUCUGCUUGGUCGCGUGCUGUACUACUUUUUCCUCUACAGGAAGCCCCUUCUUCCUUCUUACCGCGUUAAUUAGUUUCCUCGCAGUAUUGGGAAGCACACUAGAACCGUCACCAAACUCCUCAAGUUCUUCUUCUGUUUUCGGUACAAAAGAAAGGAUCCUCUAGAAGUGCUUCCCAGUGACUAAGCACAAGAAGAGCACUUGCAGCACCAGCAGUCUGUCUUCUAAGCUCAUCCGCAAAACCAAAGCUUUCAGGAACUGUAUGAGCAAAUGAAAAGGUACCAACAUUAUUUUAGAGGCAUCACCCCCUACAAUCCAAGAAGAGUUGCUUUUGACAUUGCUGACAUCGGCCAAUGCUCUUCUUCCCACAUUUUUAUUUGCUAAGAUAAGGACAACAAAAAUUUGAAAGGAACUGGUUCAAGAUGUGUAACACAACUUUGCAUAACAAGUACAGUCUGGUUCAACCUUACACGCCGAACUACAAAGUAUGCCUUUUCGCUUCUUCAUACUUUUCAAACCAGCCUUGAUAACAAAACAAUUUACAGAUAGAAAGCAGUAAAUAUAUAAUUAAAACAAAAACUGCUUAUCACAAGAAAUAACACUCCAUCCCAAUCCCCCUUAAAACAAGCAGUGGAAUAUGAAUGUCGUCGGUUACCUUUAAAGCAGCUGUAUUCUCCAGAGUCGAUACUUUGUUAACUGCUGCAUUACUCCUGAAAUAAAAGCAGCACACAGAUAUAAUUCCCCUUACAAUCUAGGUAAUUGCCAAGAACUUGCAGGAAGUGGGCAGAUACGGCUAAUAUCUAUUACUUUUAGGCCUCUACUUAGCUACAUCAUUGUAAUACAAAUCCCAGAUUUAAAUUCUGGAAUGAAGGCUUAGUUGAUUUCAGUUCUAAAACAACUAAGACGUUGAUUAAAACCAUAACAUUCGAUAAUUGAAAUGAAAUUGCACAAAUUUAAAACUAAAAUUACCUGAUCCCGCCAUCAGCUUUGGCAGUGUCACUUUCUGUGUAAACCUUAAAGCUUGAGCCACCAACUGUUUAAAAUAUUGAAAAAGAACGUCAAAAGUCAAUAAAUCACCACCAUAAGAAGUUUAAACCAGCAGAAGAGCCAAUAAUUUCUAGAAAAACCGAGAGAAUUUCAAUCAAUCAAGACAAAAUUCACGAGAAAGCAACUUCCACAAAAGAAACCCAUAAUUAGACGACAGUAAUUCAAAUUUAAAAACGCAGCCCUAGUUGAAUUUGAUUGUUUGAAGAAAUUCGAUUUUUCAAGAGGUACAUGGAGACGACAGAUUGUUGGAUAGAUUCAUAGAAGCAAGCGUACCUUAAACGACGUCAUUUUGGAGAUAUCUCUUGCUCUUCUCGGAUUCUGACGGAAAGGACUGAGAACAGUCCACCGUUGCAGAGGUCUGACACAUCUUGUUAAAUCAGCGGUUUUUAUAUAUUUCGCUUUUUGAAAGACUCAUCCAAUUCUCUUAUUUCUACAACAUAUUAAUAUUUUACCCAUCAUAAAAAAUUAAUAACUAAAAGCGUUAUUUUCUCAUCGACCAUUAUUUCUAAAAUAACCUCUAAUGUUUCCUUAAUUGUUAUGAUCCUAGCUGCACCAGAACCUCCUCCCACCUCCAUAGAAAACAAAAACCUUUGACACAUACUUGGCGGCAUCUCUUUUGGAAAGAGAGAGAAACGGAAGGGGGGACGAAGAGAGCAUAGGGGACAAAGAGAGAGAAAUACGGGGAGAUUGCUCCAAUACAAAGGCAGAUUGCUCCAAACCGAUUUAGUCCAAUUGGAAUUGGGUAUUUUUUCGAUUUUAAAAUUUGAGUUGUCGUCGUUGUUUGUCUGUGAGGAAGAGAAAGAGAGGGUAUAGGAGGUAGUACCGAAAUUGAAAGUGUCAUCUCCAGGGCACUUAGUUGAGAGAGGAACACCACAUAGCGAUGGAUUUCCCAUAUAAAUGGACGAAAAAUUGAGUGUUUGAAGCCGGUUUCCCUAAGGAAUUCUCCCAGACAAGUUGUUGUAAGACAAGUUCAAGUGGUUUAAAAAUGUUAAAGAUGACAAGCUUUGAGGAAUCUAUCCUGAAAGGUGGUUGUGUGAGAGAUCAAGAGUUUCGAGCAAAUGCAAGUUUCCGAUCUUGGAGGGGAUCUUUCCAGUCAAUUGAUUCCUGGACAAUUUCAAGGUACCCAAUAGAAUGAGGCUACUUAUUUCUUCAGGGAUUUCACCUUGUAAAUUAUUUGAUGAAAGAUCAAUGCUCUUUACAAG